CUUUCAACCCGCCUCAAGCUGAGAUGGACGCUGAAAC
Calothrix sp. HK-06 is the source of this 37-nucleotide non-coding RNA. NCBI's taxonomy places the organism in Bacteria, Bacillati, Cyanobacteriota, Cyanophyceae, Nostocales, Calotrichaceae. The record is from Rfam.